CAAUUAAAGAUUGUAUUAUUCUUCAGGUUGGUUUGGUUUAUGGUUUCUUUUUGUGGCUCAAAGAACUUACAUUGUUUUUAUCUGCUUUCGUAACUUGAAGUUGUUCCCUUUUGGUUCUCCUUGCAGAUUACGUAAGAAAUGUUGUUCUUUAUUGAGGAUCCACAUGCGGCAAGUGCUGUGGAUUUAAUGUCGAUAUUUGCUUAGUGGUUCUGGUGAGCUAGUAAUGUCGCAAAUGUAAACUACAAUGUAGAAUUCAGUUUAUUGAGGCAUCUUUAACCAAUGAACACCACUGAAGCACCUUCUACCAUGCUCUUCACUUUGCUUCCCUGCAUGUUAUGAGUGGAAGAAAUAUUUUCAAACAUACUAAUAUUGGCUCCACACCGUAGGAGUUUCCCUAAUAGAGAAGUUUAACGAUUGGAAUGUUUCUGCAGUUAACUUUACAUAAUGAACCAAAAAAUGUUUCGUAGGAACAAGGAGUACAGAAGCUAUUUAUCUAGAUUGUGGCGUUGAUACCUCCAAGAUCUGGUGUUUGUUUAUGAUUCCGUGGUUCUGUUUGAUGCAAGUGAAGUUGUAUCCAAUUGUUAUCAUAUAUGUACUAAAAAAUUGGUUGUCACUUGUCAUGCAACCAUAUCUGCUGUCUUGGUCUUUGUGCAGUCUCAUGUGCAUGCCCAUGCAGAACUGAUGUAGCUAGUAAGUACUGUUAAAUUAAUUGGCUGGCUGAAUAGAAUGAUUCAAUUCAAAGAGAACUCUGGCGGGGCAGUGCGUUAUUUGCUGUAUGGAAGCUCCAUUCUUUUCAAAGAGAAGUCUGGCAAGGCAGUGCGCUAUUCUCUAGCCAUCCCCAGAAGUACUUCAUCCAGCAAAGUAACGCAACAAGAAGAAAGAGGCGGUCUAGUCUAUUGGCGUGGUUCCAGAUAUGUGAUACCCCAGAAGUUCCCGGAAAAAAACCAUUUUAUAUAGAAUCUGAGAUGGGUGAACCAGACAAUGCAAAAUCAUUACCUUUUUUUGAAUCUCUCCCUCGACCAUGGUUGUGAACCUAAGGAAACCACUUGCAAUGAUACCUCAUCCCCAGUAGAAGCCAUAGUAGAAGAUACUGUAGUAUGUAACAAUUUCGCUCCCAAUAGUCUUCCCAGCAUAUUACCACUUCAAUUCCCGUUUUUGCAACCUAACACUGAAGUGGAGAACUGUGGCAGGGAGAAUACUAUUUUAAUCAUCAGGUCUUAAAGCCAACAACAGCUAUCCUUGGCAUAGACCGUGUGAAUGUUGACGAAUUUGCUGCCGGAUCUUGUACCUGUUCAUGCAGAUCAGAAACAACACAUGUAGCUCACCCGUGAGCUGGCUGAGCAAGUAAAUUAUCUAUAUGGAGGAAAGAAAUGGAAGAAAAUGAGAGGACGGGUAUUCAAUUUUUAAGUCGGAUUCUGUAUACUUGAUACUCGGUUGAUGGUCUUCAAUUGAGCGCGUGGAGUAUCAUUCUUUUACUGGAGCGAGUCUUACUUUGAUCAAUCUUAGUAUAGGUUCCUGAACCCCUUAUUCCACCAGCAGGAGCGCUUGAAGUAUUGUCUCUUACAGAUGGUCUUUCAAAGAUGUCCAACUCAGAUCCUUCUGAUCAGUCCCGAAGGAAUCUUCUCGACCCUAAAGAUGUAAGUAUGCACUUCUAUGCUUUUUAUGUCCAUCUGUUUUAACUUCAGAUGCGCUUGUGAUUUAUGAACCCACAGUUCACAGCUCCUACAUAUAAUGUAUUUGUGGGGGAUGUUGGAUAAAAAACACGGUUAAACACGGCUUCUGUUUGAUUCACUCUACCUACUACCUGUUCUUUUAUAAAAAAAACAAGAUAAAACACUG
Long non-coding RNA from Papaver somniferum (opium poppy), 1839 nucleotides. RefSeq lists it as uncharacterized. Lineage: Eukaryota; Viridiplantae; Streptophyta; Magnoliopsida; Ranunculales; Papaveraceae. The record is from RefSeq and is a predicted model, not a curated record. The transcript is spliced from 4 exons.